GCUUCGUUGGUGCAGUGGUAGCAUGCCUCAUUUGGGUUGUCUUGUGCAAUAUUUUGAGGUGGUCCUCGGUUCAAACCCGGGACGAGGCC
Molecule: non-coding RNA, 89 nt
Organism: Kwoniella pini CBS 10737
Lineage: Eukaryota; Fungi; Basidiomycota; Tremellomycetes; Tremellales; Cryptococcaceae
Source: the annotation of a GenBank genome assembly